CAUGCAAGUCGAACGAUCCCUUCGGGGAUAGUGGCGCACGGGUGCGUAACGCGUGGGAAUCUGCCCUUGGGUUCGGAAUAACUUCUGGAAACGGAAGCUAAUACCGGAUGAUGACGUAAGUCCAAAGAUUUAUCGCCCAAGGAUGAGCCCGCGUAGGAUUAGCUAGUUGGUGAGGUAAAGGCUCACCAAGGCGACGAUCCUUAGCUGGUCUGAGAGGAUGAUCAGCCACACUGGGACUGAGACACGGCCCAGACUCCUACGGGAGGCAGCAGUAGGGAAUAUUGGACAAUGGGGGAAACCCUGAUCCAGCAAUGCCGCGUGAGUGAUGAAGGCCUUAGGGUUGUAAAGCUCUUUUACCCGGGAUGAUAAUGACAGUACCGGGAGAAUAAGCUCCGGCUAACUCCGUGCCAGCAGCCGCGGUAAUACGGAGGGAGCUAGCGUUGUUCGGAAUUACUGGGC
This 459-nucleotide ribosomal RNA is filed under the name uncultured Alphaproteobacteria bacterium. Its description in RNAcentral is "bacterial SSU rRNA". It matches the Rfam family "Bacterial small subunit ribosomal RNA", at positions 54 to 559 of the family's 1533-position model. Lineage: Bacteria; Pseudomonadati; Pseudomonadota; Alphaproteobacteria. The record is from RNAcentral.